RNAcentral lists this ribosomal RNA (301 nucleotides) under uncultured bacterium. RNAcentral's name for it is "partial 16S ribosomal RNA". It matches the Rfam family "Bacterial small subunit ribosomal RNA", at positions 509 to 809 of the family's 1533-position model. The record is from RNAcentral.
CAGCAGCCGCGGGAAUACGUAGGGUGCGAGCGUUAAUCGGAAUUACUGGGCGUAAAGCGUGCGCAGGCGGUUCGGAAAGAGAGAUGUGAAAUCCCAGGGCUUAACCUUGGAACUGCAUUUUUAACUACCGGACUAGAGUGUGUCAGAGGGAGGUGGAAUUCCGCGUGUAGCAGUGAAAUGCGUAGAGAUGCGGAGGAACACCGAUGGCGAAGGCAGCCUCCUGGGAUAACACUGACGCUCAUGCACGAAAGCGUGGGGAGCAAACAGGAUUAGAUACCCGAGUAGUCCCUGUCUCUUAUAA